AUGCACUUUUCUGCUGCGAUGUGGUCGACCACGCAACCCCUAGCAAUCAUGUCUGCUGAAGCUAAGGAUAAGCCGGAAGACGGUGGGGGCGAAAAUGGGGCUCCCCUUGCGGACGCCGCCCGCCCGAAGCCGUCUGAUGGUGGAACCGAGGUUGCAGCCAUGGAAAGCUAUGAUGCGCAUGUCACGGCGACGACGGCGGGAGGCUCUCAGGCGCCAAAAUCACAUGGGGAUUCUGACCUGUACAUGUCUGACGCAGAUUCAGUUUUGGGCAAAAGAUACACAAGGCAGCAAGAGGAAGAGUUAGAAGCAGAGGUGCGGGCCAAAGCUCUGAUUGUGUAUAAGGAGCAACUGGAUGGAAACGCUCAGAAAAAAGGAAAACAUGAUGAAGUUGAAGUGGUGGCAGAAGGUGUUCCAAUGGAAGGCUUGGAGGAUUUGGAGGGGCCAUGGGGCCGCUGGUAA
RNAcentral lists this ribosomal RNA (459 nucleotides) under Triticum aestivum (bread wheat). RNAcentral describes it as "partial small subunit ribosomal RNA". The record is from RNAcentral. Lineage: Eukaryota; Viridiplantae; Streptophyta; Magnoliopsida; Poales; Poaceae.